This 502-nucleotide ribosomal RNA is filed under the name uncultured bacterium. Its description in RNAcentral is "partial 16S ribosomal RNA". It matches the Rfam family "Bacterial small subunit ribosomal RNA", at positions 30 to 523 of the family's 1533-position model. The record is from RNAcentral.
AUUGAACGCUGGCGGCAGGCUUAACACAUGCAAGUCGAGCGGGGUGAUGGUGCUUGCACUAUCACUUAGCGGCGGACGGGUGAGUAAUGCUUAGGAAUCUGCCUAUAGUGGGGGACAACAUCUCGAAAGGGAUGCUAAUACCGCAUACGUCCUACGGGAGAAAGCAGGGGAUCACUUGUGACCUUGCGCUAAUAGAUGAGCCUAAGUCGGAUUAGCUAGUUGGUGGGGUAAAGGCCCACCAAGGCGACGAUCUGUAGCGGGUCUGAGAGGAUGGUCCGCCACACUGGGACUGAAACACGGCCCAGACUCCUCAGGGAGGCAGCAGUGGGGAAUAUUGGACAAUGGGGGGAACCCUGAUCCAGCCAUGCCGCGUGUGUGAAGAAGGCCUUAUGGUUGUAAAGCACUUUAAGCGAGGAGGAGGCUUACCUAGUUAAUACCUGGGAUAAGUGGACGUUACUCGCAGAAUAAGCACCGGCUAACUCUGUGCCAGCCGCCGCGGUAA